GAUGAACGCUGGCGGCGUGCCUAAUACAUGCAAGUCGAGCGAACAGACGAGGAGCUUGCUCCUCUGACGUUAGCGGCGGACGGGUGAGUAACACGUGGAUAACCCACCUAUAAGACUGGGAUAACUUCGGGAAACCGGAGCUAAUACCGGAUAAUAUAUUGAACCGCAUGGUUCAAUAGUGAAAGACGGUUUUGCUGUCACUUAUAGAUGGAUCCGCGCCGCAUUAGCUAGUUGGUAAGGUAACGGCUUACCAAGGCAACGAUGCGUAGCCGACCUGAGAGGGGGGUCGGCGACACUGGAGCUGGGACGCGGUCACGGCUCCUACGGGAGGCAGCAGUAGGGAAUCUUCCGCAAUGGGCGAAAGCCUUACGGAGCAACGCCGCGUGUGUGGUGACGGUCUUCGGAUCGUAAAACUCUGUUAUUAGGGAAGAACAAAUGUGUCAGUAACUAUGCACGUCUUGACGGUACCUAAUCAGAAAGCCCCGGCUAACUACGUG
This 497-nucleotide ribosomal RNA is filed under the name uncultured bacterium. Its description in RNAcentral is "partial 16S ribosomal RNA". It matches the Rfam family "Bacterial small subunit ribosomal RNA", at positions 28 to 507 of the family's 1533-position model. The record is from RNAcentral.